This 468-nucleotide ribosomal RNA is filed under the name uncultured bacterium. RNAcentral's name for it is "partial 16S ribosomal RNA". It matches the Rfam family "Bacterial small subunit ribosomal RNA", at positions 28 to 507 of the family's 1533-position model. The record is from RNAcentral.
GACGAACGCUGGCGGCGUGCUUAACACAUGCAAGUCGAACGGAAAGGCCCUGCUUUUGUGGGGUGCUCGAGUGGCGAACGGGUGCGUAACACGUGAGUAACCUGCCCUUGACUUUGGGAUAACUUCAGGAAACUGGGGCUAAUACCGGAUAGGAGCUCCUGCUGCAUGGUGGGGGUUGGAAAGUUUCGGCGGUUGGGGAUGGACUCGCGGCUUAUCAGCUUGUUGGUGGGGUAGUGGCUUACCAAGGCUUUGACGGGUAGCCGGCCUGUGAGGGUGACCGGCCACAUUGGGACUGAGAUACGGCCCAGACUCCUACGGGAGGCAGCAGUGGGGAAUAUUGCACAAUGGGCGGAAGCCUGAUGCAGCAACGCAGCGUGCGGGAUGACGGCCUUCGGGUUGUAAACCGCUUUCGCCUGUGACGAAGCGUGAGUGACGGUCAUGGGUAAAGAAGCACCGGCUAACUACGUG